CCUUCAAGCAGCGAGCCCUCCCCUGCGUUCGGCCUGGGGCUCCUGAGGCUGCCGCCUACCCUGCGGGGCCCCCUCGGGCCUGCCUGGACCCCAGGGCGGCUUUUCCAGGACCCGGAUGGAUAGGCCGGCCCGCCCCUUGCCCCUGAGCCCCCAGCCCAGGCCGCCUUCUAACACUCUGCAGCCCCCGGCCCCGUUGAGUUUGGCCGUUGGCCGUGGUGGAGACGCCGGGGGUCAGGGGUCAGCGUGUUUCCUGUCCCCACAGUCUCACCUCCCAGGCCCCGGUAGCUCCCAGAGGCGUGGGCCGCCCCCGCGGGUGCUCCUCUGGGCGGGUGGCCUCCGCGCCGCUCCCGGGGAGGCGGGAGCCUGGCCCACAGUACCUGGGCGGUCAGUCAGAGAGAAGGAAGCCAGAGACGGAGGGGGCGUGCUGGUCCCACGUGUGCCAGUUACAGUCACGUGAAACUGUCCCCGUCUGCACCACGGAGGCGCCGGUAACACCUGCUCGCAGGCCCCCUCCCACCCGCUGGCCUCACGGAAAGCUCAUGGGAACCUUCCAGAAAGACUGCAAAAAGCUCCUUUCACUGGCCCUGCUGAUGAGGUCCUGAGGCUGGGACCCACGGCCCAAGUCUCCGCACCCCACCCUCCAGCCCCAGCCUCCCCGCUCCAGCCAGGACUGGGCCCCCCCUGUCCUUUCUGGGUGGAGCUGGUUCCAGGACACGGGGCUCAUCUUCCCCGCUGCUCAGCCCUCGGUCCAGCUUUGUCUCUCAUCUGGGCGCCUCCUGCCAGCCCUCCCAAGGUGGUACCCAAGGCCAAGGCCGGCUCUCCCCUGCUGCGCCCCCCCCAGCUCCUCCUGUCCCCUGCAGCUCCUGGGCUGCACCGGGCAGUGCUGGCCACACCAGGGGCUGCAGGGCUGCGAGCGAUGCGGCAGCACCCAGAACAAACAGAAUUUUUUUUUGCAACUAGAGGGGGAAGCACAGAGCUAAAAAUAAAACGAACCCCUCAGUAUCUGUCA
Molecule: long non-coding RNA, 1009 nt
Filed under: Oryctolagus cuniculus (rabbit)
Lineage: Eukaryota; Metazoa; Chordata; Mammalia; Lagomorpha; Leporidae
Description: lncRNA (ENSOCUG00000032477.1)
Source: RNAcentral